Molecule: unclassified non-coding RNA, 424 nt
Filed under: Hevea brasiliensis (rubber tree)
Lineage: Eukaryota; Viridiplantae; Streptophyta; Magnoliopsida; Malpighiales; Euphorbiaceae
Source: RNAcentral
AAAGAUUGCAGAUUUUGGACUUGCUCAAAUUUUUACGGAUCAUAAUACUCAUAUCUCCAUGUCACAAGUGGGAACUGAAAUUUAUAUGGAUCCCGAAUGUUCUGGAAAAGUCACUGAUAAAGUAGAUGUUUAUUCUUUUGGCGUUGUUCUCCUAGAAUUGAUCACAGGAAGAAAACCCAAAUAUCAAGGGAACAUCGUUACAUGGGGGUUUUUUCAUCAACUAGAUUGAUUGUCUUUGGGUGGGUGUACUGCGUAAGACCUUCUGGUCCUAAGUCCCUCCAAGUUAGUUUUUCCCUGUACUCCUUGACUUUCUCUUUUAAUUCUAAUAAAUUCCUGCUUAUGGAAAAAAAAAGGAGAUUUUCGGUUCUCGUUAUUUGAAUUUAGUUUAUUUUAGGUUUAAAUCAUUUGGUCUCUUUUUUUAGUA